UAAAAUGGUAUAAUAAUAAAAAAAAAUGGAGAUCAAGGUGGUUACUAAAAAAGAUAUUCCCUUUAUAUAUACUAGUGGAGUCAAGGCACUUCGUGUCUCUAUUAAAAAUAAAAUAAAAAAUUAGCAACCCUAAUGCAUGAAUUUUAGAAAAAGGAAAGUUUCUCAGUAUAUUUAUUCAUAUGUUUUCUUGUGAGCAUUAUGUAUCAUUGUAUCAAGGGUGUCUCAAUGCCCCUCAACUUUUUAUGGGGGUAGGAUUCUAUCAUAAAAAGAAAUGCUGGGCAUAAUGUUCAUUUGCUCUUAACAAAUAUCCUUAUAAUUUUCUUUUCGUGAUUUUUUUUUUCAUAUAAUGCUUUUUAGAGCCUGCAAGAUGCAAUUAUACCUUUUCAGAUUUUAGGGGGUGAAGCUCAAGUGGUUCAGAUAAUGUUGAAGCCACAAGAAAAAAUCAUUGCAAAGCCUGGUAAUUUGUUAGAUGUUAGACACUUCAAAUGAAAAUUUUGUGCUAUCAUUUUGAAUUGUAAACAUCAAUUAUAUGCUUUAAUUAGUUAAUAUGAACUGAUCUAAACAUGAUUUUUAUAGAUAAUAAUCAAUAUUACAACAUGAGGGUUGUAGCCUUGUGACUUGGAUGUCAUGGGUUCAAAUUGUGGAAACACCUCCCUGCUUGUGGGUGCAUGGCUGUAUAUACCCCCCCCCCCA
Cajanus cajan (pigeon pea) is the source of this 693-nucleotide non-coding RNA. NCBI's taxonomy places the organism in Eukaryota, Viridiplantae, Streptophyta, Magnoliopsida, Fabales, Fabaceae. The record is from RefSeq and is a predicted model, not a curated record.